Molecule: long non-coding RNA, 840 nt
Filed under: Triticum aestivum (bread wheat)
Lineage: Eukaryota; Viridiplantae; Streptophyta; Magnoliopsida; Poales; Poaceae
Description: long non-coding RNA (TAES_LNC003876)
Source: RNAcentral
AAGAUAAUAAUAGGUUCACCAACAUAGGCAUUAAAUAUUAUUCCAAUAGCACAAGAUAGUAAUAGGUUCACCAACAUAGGCAUAAAUAUUGUUCUCAUAGCACAACAUAAUAAAAGGUUCACCAACAAAGGCAUAAAUAUUGUUCUCAUAACACAAGAUAAUAAAAGGUUCACCAACAAAGGCAUAAAUAUUGUUCUCAUAGCACAACAUAAUAAAAGGUUCACCAACAAAGGCAUAAAUAUUGUUCUCAUAGCACAACAUAAUAAUAGGUUCACCAACAUAGGCAUAAAUAUUGUUCCCAUCGCUCCAAGAUAAUAAAAGGUUCACCAACAAAGGCAUAAAUAUUGUUCUCAUAGCACAACAUAAUAAUAGGUUCACCAACAUAGGCAUAAAUAUUGUUCCCAUCGCCCAAGAUAAGAUGUAACGAACUAGUUGCCAUACUUGAGGUCAAACCUCCUACGCAACCAACCCAUUCUAGAGUCGGAUGUCAUGUGCAAGAACAUUUCCCUUCGCUCUUUCUUCAGAAAGAGCUCAGUAGCAAUGAAGUGCUCAUCAGUGCCAUCUAUUGCGCCACAAGCACGAACUAAAUCCAUGGUAGAUGCAACAGAGGUGGUCUCAUCUUUCUGUAGGAAAGACUAAAAUGAUGUAUGCGAAGCAUGUGCAAUGGAACUAAUCUUUUUUAUCUCCUCUUGCAUCACUUGUGCAGUCUUUGGUUUCUUGUUCUUCUCCGGAAUCUUGACCCCAAGCCUCACUUUAGAUGCACUAGCUAUUGUCGGAGAUGCUUGCUCUUCGGUAUCAUCCUCCAAAUCAAGAUCGGUGAUUUCAUCAACAUUCAANNNN